RNAcentral lists this unclassified non-coding RNA (253 nucleotides) under uncultured Bacillaceae bacterium. Its description in RNAcentral is "contains 16S-23S intergenic spacer region". It matches the Rfam family "Bacterial small subunit ribosomal RNA", at positions 524 to 776 of the family's 1533-position model. Lineage: Bacteria; Bacillati; Bacillota; Bacilli; Caryophanales; Bacillaceae. The record is from RNAcentral.
UACGUAGGGGGCGAGCGUUGUCCGGAAUUAUUGGGCGUAAAGCGCGCGCAGGCGGUCUCUUAAGUCUGAUGUGAAAGCCCACGGCUCAACCGUGGAGGGUCAUUGGAAACUGGGGGACUUGAGGGCAGGAGAGGAGAGCGGAAUUCCACGUGUAGCGGUGAAAUGCGUAGAGAUGUGGAGGAACACCAGUGGCGAAGGCGACUUUCUGGUCUGUAACUGACGCUGAGGCGCGAAAGCGUGGGGAGCAAACAGG